AAUAAUACCUCUCAGAGCAGGGCAGAUAAAACGCCUGCGAGUGAACGCACACUCAGAAUUGGCGACUGAGAAAUUGGUGUGCAGUAAGGGAAGCUUGAUAAGAUUCUAUGACAGACUUUAUUACACACCGAUGGAAGCAGGUAGAAGAAAGAGCAUAUUUUGGAGAUAAGACUAUUUCUGGUUGUAAAAUUACAAGACGUGCCACAGGGAGAGUAGAGAAGAGAAGAGAACAAAGAGCAACUCCAGGAUGGGGACCUAUAAAUUACUUGAGAUCUACACCCGGAAUCA
This is a non-coding RNA of Odocoileus virginianus texanus, 288 nucleotides long. NCBI's taxonomy places the organism in Eukaryota, Metazoa, Chordata, Mammalia, Artiodactyla, Cervidae. The record is from RefSeq and is a predicted model, not a curated record.